Molecule: small nuclear RNA, 118 nt
Filed under: Arabidopsis halleri subsp. gemmifera
Lineage: Eukaryota; Viridiplantae; Streptophyta; Magnoliopsida; Brassicales; Brassicaceae
Description: snRNA U4
Rfam family: U4 spliceosomal RNA
About the family: U4 small nuclear RNA (U4 snRNA) is a component of the major U2-dependent spliceosome.
Source: RNAcentral
AUAUAUAUNCCGAGGCGCGUCUAUUGCUGGUUGAAAACUAUUUCCAAACCCCCUCCUGGGCCUAAGCUUGUCUUGGGCCUUCGAGAAUUUCUGGAAGGGCUCCCUUCGGGGUAAAGCC